This is a long non-coding RNA of Priapulus caudatus, 130 nucleotides long. RefSeq lists it as uncharacterized. Lineage: Eukaryota; Metazoa; Priapulida; Priapulimorpha; Priapulimorphida; Priapulidae. The transcript is spliced from 3 exons. The record is from RefSeq and is a predicted model, not a curated record.
GCUGUUUUGGCGUGUAUGUGAACACAUUUGGGACUAACAGGGUUGACUAGAAUCCCCACAAACUCACCACAGAGUUACCGCCAGCUAAGACGUUAGAUGAGCCGCUGCUCGCUAUGCGGCACUUGUAUAU